GGAAGGGUUGCAGCUGAGUGGUAAAGCACAUGCUUUUCAUGCAGAAGGUCUUGGGUUCAGUCUCCAGCAUCUCCUCCA
Non-coding RNA from Podarcis lilfordi (Lilford's wall lizard), 78 nucleotides. The record is from the annotation of a GenBank genome assembly. NCBI's taxonomy places the organism in Eukaryota, Metazoa, Chordata, Lepidosauria, Squamata, Lacertidae.